GACGAACGCUGGCGGCGUGCUUAACACAUGCAAGUCGAACGGAAAGGCUCCAGCUUGCUGGAGUACUCGAGUGGCGAACGGGUGAGUAACACGUGGGUAAUCUGCCCUGCACUCUGGGAUAAGCCUGGGAAACUGGGUCUAAUACUGGAUAUGACCUUUCUCCUUAUGGGGUUUGGUGGAAAGUUUUUCGGUGUAGGAUGAGCCCGCGGCCUAUCAGCUUGUUGGUGGGGUGAUGGCUUACCAAGGCGACGACGGGUAGCCGGCCUGAGAGGGUGAUCGGCCACAUUGGGACUGAGAUACGGCCCAGACUCCUACGGGAGGCAGCAGUGGGGAAUAUUGCACAAUGGGCGGAAGCCUGAUGCAGCGACGCCGCGUGAGGGAUGUCGGCCUUCGGGUUGUAAACCUCUUUCAGCAGGGACGAAGCGUAAGUGACGGUACCUGCAGAAGAAGCACCGGCUAACUAUGUG
This 467-nucleotide ribosomal RNA is filed under the name uncultured bacterium. Its description in RNAcentral is "partial 16S ribosomal RNA". It matches the Rfam family "Bacterial small subunit ribosomal RNA", at positions 28 to 507 of the family's 1533-position model. The record is from RNAcentral.